Molecule: non-coding RNA, 77 nt
Organism: Schistosoma haematobium
Lineage: Eukaryota; Metazoa; Platyhelminthes; Trematoda; Strigeidida; Schistosomatidae
Source: Rfam
AGCUUUCUGAAUCCAUGCAGAAAUUUCAUCAGACACCAACCAAUUAGGGCUGAUCAGACUUCAAGAUAAUUGAGGUU